RNAcentral lists this long non-coding RNA (268 nucleotides) under Lathyrus oleraceus (garden pea). RNAcentral describes it as "Pisum sativum (pea) long non-coding RNA (PSAT_LNC012899)". Lineage: Eukaryota; Viridiplantae; Streptophyta; Magnoliopsida; Fabales; Fabaceae. The record is from RNAcentral.
UUUUUUCUAGGGUUUUUCUCCAAUGAAAUUUAGAAUUUAUACUCUGACUUUUGUUGCUUGGUGGGCUCAAAUGAGGGAAAAUCAAGCCCAUGAUUUUUCUGUUAUAUAUUUUUAUUUUUAAAACGCGUGGGCUUCGCCUAGCGAAGAAUUUGCUCGCCUAGCGAGCAUGAUAGUUCAGGGAGUUCUUCUGAGCACAGGUGACUCUGGUGGCUUUCUUGGGACUCGCUAGGCGAACCAUUCUACUCGCCUAGCGAACAUGACAGUUCGG